CCUACGGGUGGCAGCAGUGAGGAAUAUUGGUCAAUGGACGAGAGUCUGAACCAGCCAAGUAGCGUGAAGGAUGACUGCCCUAUGGGUUGUAAACUUCUUUUAUAUGGGAAUAAAAUGUUCCACGUGUGGGUUUUUGUAUGUACCAUAUGAAUAAGCAUCGGCUAACUCCGUGCCAGCAGCCGCGGUAAUACGGAGGAUCCGAGCGUUAUCCGGAUUUAUUGGGUUUAAAGGGAGCGUAGGUGGAUUGGUAAGUCAGUUGUGAAAGUUUGGGGCUCAACCGUAAAAUUGCAGUUGAAACUGGCAGUGUUGAGAACAGUAGAGGUGGGCGGAAUUCGUGGUGUAGCGGUGAAAUGCUUAGAUAUCGCGCAGAACUCCGAUUGCGAAGGCAGCUCACUGGACUGCAACUGACACUGAGGCUCGAAAGUGUGGGUAUCAAACAGGAUUAGAUACCCUAGUAGUC
RNAcentral lists this ribosomal RNA (460 nucleotides) under uncultured bacterium. Its description in RNAcentral is "partial 16S ribosomal RNA". It matches the Rfam family "Bacterial small subunit ribosomal RNA", at positions 338 to 795 of the family's 1533-position model. The record is from RNAcentral.